GACUGUAGCUCAAGGGCAGAGUUCCUGCUUUGCAUGCAGAAGGUCCCAGGUUCAAUCCUCAGGAAGGUGAAACC
Podarcis lilfordi (Lilford's wall lizard) is the source of this 74-nucleotide non-coding RNA. Lineage: Eukaryota; Metazoa; Chordata; Lepidosauria; Squamata; Lacertidae. The record is from the annotation of a GenBank genome assembly.